This is a long non-coding RNA of Hyposmocoma kahamanoa, 483 nucleotides long. RefSeq lists it as uncharacterized. Lineage: Eukaryota; Metazoa; Arthropoda; Insecta; Lepidoptera; Cosmopterigidae. The record is from RefSeq and is a predicted model, not a curated record. The transcript is spliced from 3 exons.
UGUUACGUGUUGGUUUUGCGUCACGGAGCUAAAUAAAAAUACACAUUAACGAAAUUUAUUGUAAGAGACUGUUACACAUGCAGAUAUUUAGUCACAAAUAAGUUCAAAAAAUUGCUAUUACGUAAUUUUCGUGUAAACGUUAGAACUGGCAAUAUUGGCAACUGGGAGUGUAGUGUACGAAAUUAAUUUUUUUUUCAGAAUAAUGACUGUUAAUCUUUACGUGUUCUGAGUGGAAAAUCGAUUGACUUAUAUUAAAAUGUCGCUUAAGAAGGAGUCUCGUACAGACGUGCAGUUCCACUUAGCUGCGCUGCGAGGGGACUGUGACCGGCUACGGCAGCUGCUCGACACGGGGAAGGUGCACAUAGACUCGAGAGACAGGGACGGAACAACGCCCCUUAUUUUGUCUGCGGCCAUGGGGCACACGGACUGCGUGGCCGAGCUGCUGGCGCAGGGCGCAGACCCCGCCUGCCGCAGGACGGUAUG